This 468-nucleotide ribosomal RNA is filed under the name uncultured bacterium. Its description in RNAcentral is "partial 16S ribosomal RNA". It matches the Rfam family "Bacterial small subunit ribosomal RNA", at positions 28 to 507 of the family's 1533-position model. The record is from RNAcentral.
GACGAACGCUGGCGGCGUGCUUAACACAUGCAAGUCGAACGGAAACGCCCUGCUUUUGUGGGGUGCUCGAGUGGCGAACGGGUGAGUAACACGUGAGUAACCUGCCCGUGACUUGGGGAUAACUUCAGGAAACUGGAGCUAAUACCGGAUAGGAGCACCUGCUGCAUGAUGGGGGUUGGAAAGUUGCGGCGGUUGGGGUAGGACCCGCGGCUUAUCAGUUUUUUUGUGCGGUAGUGGCGUACCAAUGACUUGACGGGUAGCCGGCCUGGUAGGGUGACUGGCCACAUAGGGAUUGAGAUACGGCCAAGACUCAUACGUGAGGCAGCAGUGGGGAAUAUAGCACAAUGCGCGGAGGCCUGAUGCAACAACGCCGCGUGCGGGAUGACGGCCUUCAGGUUGUAAACCGCUUUCGCCUGUGACGAAGAGUGAGUGACGGUAAUGGGCAAAGAAGCACCGGCUAACUACGUG